RNAcentral lists this ribosomal RNA (465 nucleotides) under uncultured bacterium. Its description in RNAcentral is "partial 16S ribosomal RNA". It matches the Rfam family "Bacterial small subunit ribosomal RNA", at positions 28 to 507 of the family's 1533-position model. The record is from RNAcentral.
GACGAACGCUGGCGGCGUGCUUAACACAUGCAAGUCGAACGGAAAGGCCCCUUUGGGGGUACUCGAGUGGCGAACGGGUGAGUAACACGUGAGUAACCUGCCCUUGACUUCGGGAUAACUUCAGGAAACUGGGGCUAAUACCGGAUAGGAAUCCUUGCUGCAUGGUGGGGGUUGGAAAGCUUCGGCGGUUUUGGAUGGACUCGCGGCUUAUCAGCUUGUUGGUGGGGUAGUGGCUUACCAAGGCGUUGACGGGUAGCCGGCCUGAGAGGGCGACCGGCCACAUUGGGACUGAGAUACGGCCCAGACUCCUACGGGAGGAAGCAGGGGGGAAUAUUGCACAAUGGGCGGAAGCCUGAUGCAGCAACGCCGCGUGCGGGAUGACGGCCUUCGGGUUGUAAACCGCUUUCAGCAGGGGCGAAGCUUGUGGUGACGGUACCUGCAGAAGAAGCACCGGCUAACUACGUG